UAGCCGUAAACGAUACUCGCUAGGUGUCGGCCACGGUGCGACCGUUGUCGGUGCCGUAGGGAAGCCGUGAAGCGAGCCACCUGGGAAGUACGGCCGCAAGGCUGAAACUUAAAGGAAUUGGCGGGGGAGCACAACAACGGGUGGAGCUUGCGGUUUAAUUGGAUUCAGCGCCGGAAAUCUUACCGGGACCGACAGCAACAUGAAGGCCAAGCUGAAGACUUUGCCGGAUUAGCUGAGAGGAGGUGCAUGGCGUAGUCGUGU
RNAcentral lists this ribosomal RNA (261 nucleotides) under uncultured archaeon. RNAcentral's name for it is "partial 16S ribosomal RNA". It matches the Rfam family "Archaeal small subunit ribosomal RNA", at positions 748 to 1009 of the family's 1478-position model. The record is from RNAcentral.